UCUGAACUGAGCCAUACAUCGCUACAACAAUCUCACACGCAACCAUAAUUUCUUUCGUAUCUGUUAUAGGCUUCUUUCUCUCUCCCAUUUCUUCUCACUCUCUCCAUUUUCACGCACAAACUAUCGUUCUUCUUUGUUUCACUUCCCCCACAGAAUCACUUCUUCUCUAUUUUCUAUUUUUCUCUGACGAUUUCUUUAUAUAUACUGCUUAAUUUAGCUAGAGAUACCAUUCAAAAAAUCUUAAUCUUUUGUUUUUAUUUUCUUUUGUAGAGGUUUGAAGUUUUCAUCGCCGAGAAAGUAUACGAUCGAGAGGAUGAUUGAAAAAAGAGUUUUGGGUUUCAACUUUUCAUUGUCUAAUAUAUGAGAUUGAGCAAGAACUUGGUCGAAAUAUAACCAAGCAAGAGUCUUAUCUAUUGGGUUUGUUGAUCCAAAAAUGAUAAUUUUCCUUUUCCUUUGAUGCAUUUAUUAUUUGUUCCACGUAUUUUCAUCUAGAACUUUCUGGCUGUAGAAAGGUUUGUUAUUUUCUUUUUAAAAUUUUUUUUUAUAAAUUUGGUACAUUUAUUUUUGAACUUUUUUCGAUCUGAAAUGUUCAAAUGUUUUUUAUUACUGAACGAUCUCCAGAUGCUUAAGGAGCUCCAAACUGUUAUCAAAUGAGGCCCAUCCUAUUUGUUGCCAUCACGCUGCGACCUCCUGCAAAGUUAAUUUAAAGCCCUUUGUGCAGUCAAGUACAGGUUCCCCAUUUCGCUUGACAAUACAUCUUUGCGAUCAGUAGUUGAUUCUAAUUAAUUUGACUAUUUUAUUUGGAAUUUUAUGUUUCUCCUGUGAAUUCUAGCAAUUGAAUUUGAUGUGGAAGCUUUUUCGUAUUUGAUUCCGAUUAACUAGAAUAUUAUAUCUGCAAUUUUCUCUUCCUUUUUAUGAAUUGUAGCUAUUGGAUUUUGUGUGGAUACAUUUUUGCAGUUCGUAUUUGAUUUUGAAUAAUUAUACUGUAAUUUCUCUUGGCAUCAUGAAUUCAAGCAAUUGGAUUUUGUGGUGACAUUUUUCCGACCAGUAGUUGGUUAUGAUAAUAUGAUUGAUUAGAAUGUUUCAUCCGCAAUUAUUUCUUCCCUUAAGGAACUAUAGGAAUUGGGUUUUGUAUGGAUACAUCUCUACUAUUGGUAGUAGAUUCUAACAAAUUGGAAUUUAUUUGCAAUUAAAAUAAAUGAACUGUGUUGGUAACUCCCUAAACUUCAAAAAAUUAUUUUUAUUAUUCUUCUCGGGACAUUUGCACAUUUUUCUUCACAAAUAAAGCAAGAGAUGUACUCGACUACAUGAUGUAGUUGAACUUCUGAUAUUUUUACCUGAUGUUGAGAUCUAGCCUACGUUCUAAAGUUCUGUUGGUGCACAUGAUCUUAACGUGACACAAUCAUCUAGAUCCAGUAGUUAAAAAAGAUACAUGGGCUGAAGAGAAAUUAUUAGUCCUGGCUUCUUAUCACCAAUUAUAUGGAAAUAAAUGGACAAAAUCGCAAGUUUGUUGUGUAAAUUUUCUAAUAGCUCGAUCGUACUUGAUUUUAACAUAAAAUUCUACAUUUUAUCAUUUUCUUCUAAUAUGCUUUUUGCUGGAAGUUCAGUAUCAUGUUCAAAAUUUUUCGAGAUUGUAAUAUAUCCUCUCUUUUUGUUGCUCUGUUUUCUUCUCUGCUUUGAUAACCUUGCCCAUAUUAUUAAUUUUCUUGAACUGUUCAAUUAAAGAUGAUCGCUGAAAUUGAAAUGCUAAUGUGCCUAUGGUCGACUAAGAUCUUGCUUGGGUGGGCAACUAUAGAUAUGAGAAAGAAAAGGUUUAACAGGCUCACUCUCUUAUAUUUAUAAUCUUACUUAUAAGCCACCCUAAACAUGCUCUAAUUUGGUCUCUUAACUCAUGAUGAUGGGAAAUCAGUAUAUAUGUUAGGCAUAUUUUGUGUUUUUAUCUAGCUUUAGGAUCAAUUCAUUGUAUAGAGUAAAGCAAAUGAUAGAUGGUAUCCCUUUUUAAUCUUAUCGAAGAGUCAUUUGGAAGAGACUUUUUUAUCCAUGUGAAAUUUUGUUAUUGUUUUGACGAACUUGACUAUUCCAAUAUGAGAAUUUGGAAAAGAAAAAAUCUGGUAUUUAUCGUGUUAAAGAACUGAAAUUACAGCAUUAGCAUACUGCCAUCAAAUACAUCAAUGGCACAAUGGUAAUUCUAUAAUCAUUGCAUUUCAUCUACUUCUUUGUCAUAUCUUUUUUGCUUGGAGAAAUCACUUCCACCAACUAUUUUGCACCUGCUGCAUCCCAUGUGUUAUCAAAAUCCAAUGCAUAUAUUGUAAAGUAUAGGAAAGGGCUUUGCCACAAGCAUUACUCCAGUUACUCUCGGUUUGACACAUCUUUUACUGAAAAUGAUCACAGAGAAAUAUGUGUGUGUGUGUGUGUGUGUGUGUAUAUAUUUGUUGAUAUUUUGAACACAGUAUAGCAGUGUAUCGAUAUCUUGUUUACAUGAACUGAUGGGAUUACAAAGGAUUUCUUUUUCUAUCUAAUAUUUCUCUCAGUAGAUUUAGUGGUAGAUUGAAUGAACCAAAUCCAAAUCUAUCAAAAUACAUCUUAGUUGCAUUCCAUUUUAUAGACGUUAUGACAUGUGUGAGCUACUAAGGGAAUAUUUACUUUCUAGGUAUUGCUUCCAAGUAAUAUAGCAUUUGUGUUUAGUCACCUUCUUCCCACUUUUCCAUGAUCUGUCCAUCUUUCUACUUUAGCAUAUUUGGCCUAAUACAAAAUUUUCUUUUAAUUGUACAAGGAAGUUCAUGGCAAUGUUGAUGUUCCGAAAUCAAAUAUAAUUCAAGCAUGCAAAAGCAUUGGUGCUUUAAUGCCAUCUUUCCAUUCUUUAAUUAUUUUAUGAGAAAUUGCAAUUUUUGGAGCUUAACUUGUCUAAAUUACUUUCAUUUGUUUAUGCUUUCUUCAGUUGCUAGAUCAGAGGGAGAGCAUAAAUGGACUAUAUUUUCCAUAAAUAUUAGAUAGGUAAAAGAAUAAAUCUUACUUUACUUAGAAUUUCAUUUGUGGGUAAAAAUUCAAUCUUGAAGCUUCAUUUUGCCCACGAGUAGGAGACCUGACAUUAUUGAAGAGUUUGCAGUGUAGCAAUAAUGGAAGAGUGAUUCGCAAUUUUUUUGUAAUGUUUUGUUUUUUCAAUACAAAUGUUUGUAAGUUCUCUAUAUAUCUCUCUGUGGUUGUCUUAGUUUCUUGAAUUCAUUCAUGAGGUGUUUUUUGUUAAACAAACUUGAAUUUAUUUGUGGGUUCUUCUAUUAAGUCACAAUGUUCUAUACAUUUGAAAUCAGAAUUGACAUUGGCAAGGCCAACUUUAUUUUGGUCUUUGAGGCCCCAUAUGCUUUUCUCCAUGUCUCAAGUGUUCCCAUUUGUAAUUUGUAGCUAACACCUUAAUUUUCCUCCUUUCCUUUAUACAUUGCUUCUCUCGACAAAUUUAAGGCAUUUGUAUAAAUGCCAAAUGGGAAAUAUUUUGUUUCUCGAAAUAAUAUAUUUUCUUGUGAUUGUUGUAAUAUAAAGCUGAAUUUUUCAACUUCUCAUUGUAAUAUAUAUGUUCCUGUCUAUGAAAAUUAUACAGGGAAAUUUCAAGUACAUUGUAUAUUGAUGGUUGAUUCAUUUUA
Long non-coding RNA from Olea europaea var. sylvestris, 3635 nucleotides. RefSeq lists it as uncharacterized. Lineage: Eukaryota; Viridiplantae; Streptophyta; Magnoliopsida; Lamiales; Oleaceae. The record is from RefSeq and is a predicted model, not a curated record. The transcript is spliced from 2 exons.